AGAACGAACGCUGGCGGCAUGCCUAACACAUGCAAGUCGAACGAGACCUUCGGGUCUAGUGGCGCACGGGUGCGUAACGCGUGGGAAUCUGCCCUUGGGUUCGGAAUAACAGCGAGAAAUUGCUGCUAAUACCGGAUGAUGACGUAAGUCCAAAGAUUUAUCGCCCAAGGAUGAGCCCGCGUAGGAUUAGCUUGUUGGUGAGGUAAGAGCUCACCAAGGCGACGAUCCUUAGCUGGUCUGAGAGGAUGAUCAGCCACACUGGGACUGAGACACGGCCCAGACUCCUACGGGAGGCAGCAGUGGGGAAUAUUGGACAAUGGGCGAAAGCCUGAUCCAGCAAUGCCGCGUGAGUGAUGAAGGCCUUAGGGUUGUAAAGCUCUUUUACCCGGAUGAUAAUGACAGUACCGGAGAAUAAGCUCCGGCUAACUCCGUGCCAGCAGCCGC
Molecule: ribosomal RNA, 444 nt
Filed under: uncultured soil bacterium
Lineage: Bacteria
Description: bacterial SSU rRNA
Rfam family: Bacterial small subunit ribosomal RNA
Source: RNAcentral